AGUCGACGAACCUUCGGGUUAGUGGCGGACGGGUGAGUAACGCGUGGGAAUCUGCCCUCAGGAGGGGGAUAACGGUUGGAAACGGCCGCUAAUACCCCAUAUGCCGAGAGGUGAAAUGAAUUUCGCCUGAGGAUGAGCCCGCGUCUGAUUAGCUAGUUGGUGAGGUAAGAGCUCACCAAGGCAUCGAUCAGUAGCUGGUCUGAGAGGAUGAUCAGCCACACUGGACUGAGACACGGCCCAGACUCCUACGGGAGGCAGCAGUGGGGAAUUUUCCGCAAUGGGCGAAAGCCUGACGGAGCAACGCCGCGUGAGGGAUGAAGGCCUCUGGGCUGUAAACCUCUUUUAUCAAGGAAGAAGAUCUGACGGUACUUGAUGAAUAAGCCACGGCUAAUUCCGUGCCAGCAGCCGCGGUAAUACGGGAGUGGCAAGCGUUAUCCGGAAUUAUUGGGCGUAAAGCGUCCGCAGGCGGCCCAACAAGUCUGCUGUUAAAAAGUGGAGCUUAACUCCAUCAUGGCAGUGGAAACUGUUGGGCUCGAGUGUGGUAGGGGCAGAGGGAAUUCCCGGUGUAGCGGUGAAAUGCGUAGAUAUCGGGAAGAACACCAGUGGCGAAGGCGCUCUGCUGGGCCAUCACUGACGCUCAUGGACGAAAGCCAGGGGAGCGAAAGGGAUUAGAUACCCCUGUAGUCCUGGCCGUAAACGAUGAACACUAGGUGUCGGGGGAAUCGACCCCUCCGGUGUCGUAGCCAACGCGUUAAGUGUUCCGCCUGGGGAGUACGCACGCAAGUGUGAAACUCAAAGGAAUUGACGGGGGCCCGCACAAGCGGUGG
Molecule: ribosomal RNA, 827 nt
Filed under: uncultured marine bacterium
Lineage: Bacteria
Description: bacterial SSU rRNA
Rfam family: Bacterial small subunit ribosomal RNA
Source: RNAcentral